RNAcentral lists this ribosomal RNA (721 nucleotides) under Nitrariomyia lukjanovitshi. Its description in RNAcentral is "partial 12S ribosomal RNA". The record is from RNAcentral. Lineage: Eukaryota; Metazoa; Arthropoda; Insecta; Diptera; Tephritidae.
AUGUAAGUUUUUGCGUGGAUUUUUAUUUAUUUUAAUAAUUGAUAAUCUUUAUGGUAAUCGCAGUAAUUAGUUUUAUUAAUCAAGUAAAUUUGGAAGUAGUAAUUUCAUAUAGUAUUGGCUAAAUUUGUGCCAGCAGCCGCGGUUAUACAAAUGAUGCAAAUAAAAUUAGUUCAGUGUGAGUUAAGUUUUAUAUAAAUAAAAUAAAUAUAAAUUUAUUAGGUGAAAUUUUUAAUUUAUUAAAUUUUAUUAUAAUGAUAUUGAAGCUUUUAAAUUUUGUCAGUAAACUAGGAUUAGAUACCCUAUUAUUUAGAAUGUAAUUUUAAACACUAAGGUAGUAGUAGUUAUGUUCUUGAAACUUAAAAAAUUUGGCGGUAUUUUAGUCUAUUCAGAGGAACCUGUCCUGUAAUCGAUAAUCCACGAUGUACCUCACUUUAAUUUGUUUUUCAGUUUAUAUACCGUCGUUAUCAGAAUAUUUUAUUAGAAUAAUAAUUUUCAGAUAUUUUUAUUUUAAAUCUAUAUCAGAUCAAGGUGUAGCUUAUAUUUAAGUAGAGAUGGGUUACAAUAAAUUUAUUUAAAUGGAUCUAAAUAUGAAAAAUUUAGUGAAAGUGGAUUUGAUAGUAAAAUUUUAAAGAUUAUAAAUUUGAUUUUAGCUCUAGAGUAUGUACACAUCGCCCGUCACUCUUAUUAUUAAGGUAAGAUAAGUCGUAACAUAGUAGAUGUA